Molecule: transfer RNA, 117 nt
Filed under: Fusarium equiseti
Lineage: Eukaryota; Fungi; Ascomycota; Sordariomycetes; Hypocreales; Nectriaceae
Description: tRNA-Tyr
Rfam family: tRNA
About the family: Transfer RNA (tRNA) molecules are approximately 80 nucleotides in length.
Source: RNAcentral
UCCCCUUUGAUGCAGUGGUUAGCACGCUCCUAGUAAUCCGUUGCUCUCGGGCCGGACCAGAACAGAAAUUGAGGUUAACUCAAAGGAGAAGCCCGGGUUCAAAUCCCGGAAGGGGAA